Molecule: ribosomal RNA, 314 nt
Filed under: uncultured bacterium
Lineage: Bacteria
Description: bacterial SSU rRNA
Rfam family: Bacterial small subunit ribosomal RNA
Source: RNAcentral
UAUGCCCCUUAUGACCUGGGCUACACACGUGCUACAAUGGCUGGACAACGAGUCGCAAGCCGGUGACGGAAGCUAAUCUCUGAAAGCCAGUCUCAGUUCGGAUUGUAGGCUGCAACUCGCCUACAUGAAGUCGGAAUCGCUAGUAAUCGCGGAUCAGCACGCCGCGGUGAAUACGUUCCGGGCCUUGUACACACCGCCCGUCACACCACGAGAGUUUGUAACACCCGAAGUCGGUGAGGUAACCGUAAGGAGCCAGCCGCCUAAGGUGGGAUAGAUGAUUGGGGUGAAGUCGUAACAAGGCAGCCGUAUCGGAA